AUUGAACGCUGGCGGCAGGCCUAACACAUGCAAGUCGAGCGGAUGAAGGGAGCUUGCUCCUGGAUUCAGCGGCGGACGGGUGAGUAAUGCCUAGGAAUCUGCCUGGUAGUGGGGGAUAACGUCCGGAAACGGGCGCUAAUACCGCAUACGUCCUGAGGGAGAAAGUGGGGGAUCUUCGGACCUCACGCUAUCAGAUGAGCCUAGGUCGGAUUAGCUAGUUGGUGGGGUAAAGGCCUACCAAGGCGACGAUCCGUAACUGGUCUGAGAGGAUGAGCAGUCACACUGGAACCGAGACACGGUCCAGACUCCUACGGGAGGCAGCAGUGGGGAAUAUUGGACAAUGGGCGAAAGCCUGAUCCAGCCAUGCCGCGUGUGUGAAGAAGGUCUUCGGAUUGUAAAGCACUUUAAGUCGGGAGGAAGGGCAGUAAGUUAAUACCUUGCUGUUUUGACGUUACCAACAGAAUAAGCACCGGCUAACUUCGUG
Molecule: ribosomal RNA, 484 nt
Filed under: uncultured bacterium
Lineage: Bacteria
Description: partial 16S ribosomal RNA
Rfam family: Bacterial small subunit ribosomal RNA
Source: RNAcentral